This 496-nucleotide ribosomal RNA is filed under the name uncultured bacterium. RNAcentral describes it as "partial 16S ribosomal RNA". It matches the Rfam family "Bacterial small subunit ribosomal RNA", at positions 28 to 506 of the family's 1533-position model. The record is from RNAcentral.
GAUGAACGCUGGCGGCGUGCCUAAUACAUGCAAGUCGAGCGAACAGACGAGGAGCUUGCUCCUCUGAUGUUAGCGGCGGACGGGUGAGUAACACGUGGAUAACCUACCUAUAAGACUGGGAUAACUUCGGGAAACCGGAGCUAAUACCGGAUAACAUGUUGAACCGCAUGGUUCAACAGUGAAAGACGGUUUUGCUGUCACUUAUAGAUGGAUCCGCGCCGCAUUAGCUAGUUGGUAAGGUAACGGCUUACCAAGGCAACGAUGCGUAGCCGACCUGAGAGGGUGAUCGGCCACACUGGAACUGAGACACGGUCCAGACUCCUACGGGAGGCAGCAGUAGGGAAUCUUCCGCAAUGGGCGAAAGCCUGACGGAGCAACGCCGCGUGAGUGAAGAAGGUCUUCGGAUCGUAAAACUCUGUUAUUAGGGAAGAACAAAUGUGUAAGUAACUAUGCACGUCUGGACGGUACCUAAUCAGAAAGCCACGGCUAACUACGU